GAUGAACGCUGGCGGCGUGCCUAAUACAUGCAAGUCGAGCGAACGGACGAGAAGCUUGCUUCUCUGAUGUUAGCGGCGGACGGGUGAGUAACACGUGUAUAACCUACCUAUAAGACUGGGAUAACUUCGGGAAACCGGAGCUAAUACCGGAUAAUAUUUUGAACCGCAUGGUUCAAAAGUGAAAGACGGUCUUGCUGUCACUUAUAGAUGGAUCCGCGCUGCAUUAGCUAGUUGGUAAGGUAACGGCUUACCAAGGCAACGAUGCAUAGCCGACCUGAGAGGGUGAUCGGCCACACGGGAACGGAGACACGGUCCAGACUCCUACGGGAGGCAGCAGUAGGGAAUCUUCCGCAAUGGGCGAAAGCCUGACGGAGCAACGCCGCGUGAGUGAUGAAGGUCUUCGGAUCGUAAAACUCUGUUAUUAGGGAAGAACAGAUGUGUAAGUAACUGUGCACAUCGUGACGGUACCUAAUCAGAAAGCCACGGCUAACUACGUG
RNAcentral lists this ribosomal RNA (497 nucleotides) under uncultured bacterium. Its description in RNAcentral is "partial 16S ribosomal RNA". It matches the Rfam family "Bacterial small subunit ribosomal RNA", at positions 28 to 507 of the family's 1533-position model. The record is from RNAcentral.